Molecule: ribosomal RNA, 400 nt
Filed under: uncultured bacterium
Lineage: Bacteria
Description: bacterial SSU rRNA
Rfam family: Bacterial small subunit ribosomal RNA
Source: RNAcentral
GGCCGCGGGAAUUCGAUUAGUAACACGUGACCAAUCUACCCUCGAGUGGGGGAUAACUCCGGGAAACCGGGGCUAAUACCGCAUAACAUCCUCGGAUCGGAAGAACUGGGGAUCAAAGGAGCAAUUCGCUUGAGGAGGAGGUCGCGGCUGAUUAGCUAGUUGGCGGGGUAAUGGCCCACCAAGGCGAUGAUCGGUAGCCGGCCUGAGAGGGCGCACGGCCACACUGGAACUGAAACACGGUCCAGACUCCUACGGGAGGCAGCAGUGGGGAAUUUUGCGCAAUGGGGGAAACCCUGACGCAGCAACGCCGCGUGGAGGAUGAAGUCCCUUGGGACGUAAACUCCUUUCGACCGGGACGAUAAUGACGGUACCGGUGGAAGAAGCCCCGGCUAACUUCGUG